GUGGAUUAGAUACCCUGGUAGUCCACGCCGUAAACGAUGAGAACUUGACGUCGGUUUGCUCAGCAAGUCGGUGUCGCAGCUAACGCGAUAAGUUCUCCGCCUGGGGAGUACGGCCGCAAGGUUGAAACUCAAAGGAAUUGACGGGGGCCCGCACAAGCGGUGGAGUAUGUGGUUUAAUUCGAUGCAACGCGAAGAACCUUACCUGGGCUUGACAUGCUAGGAAUCCUGCAGAGAUGUGGGAGUGCCCGCAAGGGAACCUAGACACAGGUGCUGCACGGCCGUCGACAGCU
Molecule: ribosomal RNA, 290 nt
Filed under: uncultured bacterium
Lineage: Bacteria
Description: partial 16S ribosomal RNA
Rfam family: Bacterial small subunit ribosomal RNA
Source: RNAcentral